Molecule: long non-coding RNA, 1376 nt
Organism: Oreochromis aureus
Lineage: Eukaryota; Metazoa; Chordata; Actinopteri; Cichliformes; Cichlidae
Source: Ensembl
UUUUUUCACAAGUAGCUUUAACUGUUUUGGUGACAUUCUUCAAAGAUUGUACUUCCAAGAACAUGAAGUCAAUAGACUUCUUCAUAGCCUCGAUGUUAACAGUAUUCUUGCUGAUCAUAGCCUCCAGAUUAUCUGAGCGCUCAUUAAUGAAAGUAGCAAUGUUGUUUUGCACAUCAGCAAGAGUUAUAUCACUGUCUUUGUGUUUUUUACCAUCGGAUCUGGCUGGUGUAUCGGGGUCCGAAUCCGGCAGUGGCAUCAGUUCAGCACUUUUGCUGCGGUUGUAGUCAUGUUCGGCAGCCACGGCAUUCUUGGGGGUGGUUUUUGAGCCAGCUACACCUGUAUUUCUCUCCAUUUCCUUAGUUGCUCCUUUCGAUAGACUUUUAAAUUUCAUGGGUGUUUCUUUUCCCUUCCUUUUACUACCCUGAGUUGUUGGAAACAUCGCGGAGGUGGCGGAGCUUUCCUACUGUUAGCUGAGCUAUCGCUUUGCAAGGAAGCUAGGGUCACGAAAAAGUUCUUUUAAGUAUGGUUCAGGAAGCCGUUACUUAGAAGUACAGCAUAAGUGUACUGAAGAAACAGUCAGUAGGAUAACUCACUUGUAAUUCAGAGAAAAACGACGGCUGGAAGUUGUCACCCUCCACGGCUAAAUAAAGCACUCUAAAUCGGUUUCAGUAAUGUACUGAUUUACACAACAAUGGACAUAAGGGGCUUCUUUCAAAGAAAAAACUCAGCACAAAGAGGGAGCGAGAGGAACAGAGAGGGAGAUAGAGAGGAUAAUAAGGACAGAAGAGAAAUGGAACAAGAGCCAGGUGAGACAGACAUGUUAAUCAAAUGGUUGUUUGCCAAAACUCAUUAGAACAUGUAUCUAGUACCUAGUGUAUCUUUUUGGAAUACUUGAAUAAUAUUGACCCUGGAAAUGUCAUUGAUAGGUUCGCAAAACUCAAGUCUCGAAGAUACAGUCUCAUGUUACCACAAUAAAGAGGUGUUGUCAGUGUAGUGCAGGUCUAUGAUGAUUUUCAGUGCUACUAUCAUCUAGUUUUGAUUCUGGUUCUAUCUUGGUUAAGUCCUAAAGUAGUCCUGAUUUUGAACUGUUGUAGUCCUGUUUUAAUUCCGGGUCAGUUGUGGGUCUGGUUGAUUUGGGGUUUAGCAAAUCCACAGCAACUCCACCCCCCACCCCCCCUCCAAUCCGACAUGCAUACUACCCUUUAGGGCUAAGCCCUGGGUGUAUAAAAUGUCUGGCUCCGCCUCUGGUUUGACUAUGCUCAGGGUCAGCGUUGCUUCUUUCCGGUCCCUCCCUCACUCUUUGAAAUGCCCAUGGUCAAAUAUCGAUGAUUGACCCGCAGCUGGAAGACUGAAUAUCGUCUCACUGUCAUGACGAC